Molecule: long non-coding RNA, 403 nt
Organism: Talpa occidentalis (Iberian mole)
Lineage: Eukaryota; Metazoa; Chordata; Mammalia; Eulipotyphla; Talpidae
Exons: 3
Source: RefSeq, a predicted model, not a curated record
GAUUGCAAGAGCUAAUUUGAAUUCUGCCCAAGCUGAGAACUGCUCCAACAACCCCCAGCCUGUGGAGUGGCAGGCUUGCAGGAUUCAAGGGCUCCAAGCACACUUCAUUGGGAAGGUGACAUGGGAACAAAGACUUGAAGGAGGGAGCAAGCCAUGGGGAUAUCCAAGGGUGAAGAGAUUCCAAGAAGAGGGAGCCGCCCGUGCAAAGGUCCUGAGCUAUUGGAGAAUUUUUUGGAUCCCGGUUCUGUGCCGAGCAUUGGGUGCCUAAGACCAGCCCGGUGCAUGCCUUGCUGCGGCUUCUGUUCUGGGGAAGAAGACAAUCAACAAGGAGACAGCGAACAUGGAUCGUGGCAGAUGGGGGAACAUGCAGGGGAGUAAAGCAAACGGGGUGCCAGGGGGAGCA